RNAcentral lists this ribosomal RNA (466 nucleotides) under uncultured bacterium. RNAcentral's name for it is "partial 16S ribosomal RNA". It matches the Rfam family "Bacterial small subunit ribosomal RNA", at positions 29 to 507 of the family's 1533-position model. The record is from RNAcentral.
AUGCACGCUGGCGGCGCGCCUAACCCCUGCAAGUCGCACGCUUAAAGCACCUUCGGGUGUGUAUAAAGUGGCGAACGGCUGAGUAACACGUGGGCAACCUGCCCCUUUCAUUGGGAUAGCCACGGGAAACCGUGGAUAAUACCGAAUACUUCGAGACUUCCGCAUGGAAGACUCGAGAAAGCUCCGGCGGAGAGGGAUGGGCCCGCGGCCUGUUAGCUUGUUGGUGGGGUAACGGCCUACCAAGGCAAUGAUGGGUAGCUGGGUUGAGAGACCGACCAGCCAGAUUGGGACUGAGACACGGCCCAGACUCCUACGGGAGGCAGCAGUGGGGAAUCUUGCACAAUGGGCGAGAGCCUGAUGCAGCGACGCCGCGUGCGGGAUGAAGGCCUUCGGGUUGUAAACCGCUUUCAGCAGGGACGAGGCGAAAGUGACGGUACCUGCAGAAGAAGCCCCGGCUAACUACGUG